UGUGUACUCCCUCCGUUCCAAAAUACUUGACUUCCAUUUGUCCAAAAAUGGAUCUACCUAUAUACUAAGACAUGUCUAGAUACAUAUAUAUUUUCACAAAUAGAAGGCAUGUAUUGUGCAACGGAGGGAGUAGAAU
Molecule: non-coding RNA, 136 nt
Organism: Triticum aestivum (bread wheat)
Lineage: Eukaryota; Viridiplantae; Streptophyta; Magnoliopsida; Poales; Poaceae
Source: Rfam